Molecule: ribosomal RNA, 253 nt
Filed under: uncultured bacterium
Lineage: Bacteria
Description: partial 16S ribosomal RNA
Rfam family: Bacterial small subunit ribosomal RNA
Source: RNAcentral
UACGUAGGGGGCUAGCGUUGUCCGGAUUUAUUGGGCGUAAAGAGCGUGUAGGCGGCCAGGUAGGUCUGCUGUGAAAACUCGAGGCUCAACCUCGAGACGUCGGCGGAAACCAUCUGGCUAGAGUCCGGAAGAGGAGAGUGGAAUUCCUGGUGUAGCGGUGAAAUGCGCAGAUAUCAGGAAGAACACCCGUGGCGAAGGCGGCUCUCUGGGCCUUACCUGACGCUGAGGAGCGAAAGCAUGGGGAGCAAACAGG